This 149-nucleotide ribosomal RNA is filed under the name Enterobacter cloacae. RNAcentral's name for it is "partial 23S ribosomal RNA". It matches the Rfam family "Bacterial large subunit ribosomal RNA", at positions 2795 to 2925 of the family's 2925-position model. The record is from RNAcentral. Lineage: Bacteria; Pseudomonadati; Pseudomonadota; Gammaproteobacteria; Enterobacterales; Enterobacteriaceae.
UGGCCCGAGAUGAGUUCUCCCUGAGACUUUAAGUCUCCUGAAGGAACGUUGAAGACGACGACGUUGAUAGGUCGGGUGUGUAAGCGCAGCGAUGCGUUGAGCUAACCGAUACUAAUGAACCGUGAGGCUUAACCUUACAACGCCGAAGC